AAUCCAUAGGUUAAUGAGGCGAACCGGGGGAACUGAAACAUCUAAGUACCCCGAGGAAAAGAAAUCAACCGAGAUUCCCCCAGUAGCGGCGAGCGAACGGGGAGGAGCCCAGAGCCUGAAUCAGCAUGUGUGUUAGUGGAAGCGUCUGGAAAGGCGCGCGAUACAGGGUGACAGCCCCGUACACAAAAGCGCAUGUGCUGUGAGCUCGAUGAGUAGGGCGGGACACGUGGUAUCCUGUCUGAAUAUGGGGGGACCAUCCUCCAAGGCUAAAUACUCCUGACUGACCGAUAGUGAACCAGUACCGUGAGGGAAAGGCGAAAAGAACCCCGGCGAGGGGAGUGAAAAAGAACCUGAAACCGUGUACGUACAAGCAGUGGGAGCACAGGUUUACCUGUGUGACUGCGUACCUUUUGUAUAAUGGGUCAGCGACUUAUAUUCUGUAGCAAGGUUAACCGAAUAGGGGAGCCGGAGGGAAACCGAGUCUUAAUUGGGCGUUAAGUUGCAGGGUAUAGACCCGAAACCCGGUGAUCUAGCCAUGGGCAGGUUGAAGGUUGGGUAACACUAACUGGAGGACCGAACCGACUAAUGUUGAAAAAUUAGCGGAUGACCUGUGGCUGGGGGUGAAAGGCCAAUCAAACCGGGAGAUAGCUGGUUCUCCCCGAAAGCUAUUUAGGUAGCGCCUCGUGAAUUCAUCUCCGGGGGUAGAGCACUGUUUCGGCUAGGGGGCCAUCCCGGCUUACCAACCCGAUGCAAACUGCGAAUACCGGAGAAUGUUAUCACGGGAGACACACGGCGGGUGCUAACGUCCGUCGUGAAGAGGGAAACAACCCAGACCGCCAGCUAAGGUCCCAAAGUCAUGGUUAAGUGGGAAACGAUGUGGGAAGGCCCAGACAGCCAGGAUGUUGGCUUAGAAGCAGCCAUCAUUUAAAGAAAGCGUAAUAGCUCACUGGUCGAGUCGGCCUGCGCGGAAGAUGUAACGGGGCUAAACCAU
Molecule: ribosomal RNA, 991 nt
Filed under: Salmonella enterica subsp. enterica serovar Infantis
Lineage: Bacteria; Pseudomonadati; Pseudomonadota; Gammaproteobacteria; Enterobacterales; Enterobacteriaceae
Also listed under: 15 other names
Description: partial 23S ribosomal RNA
Rfam family: Bacterial large subunit ribosomal RNA
Source: RNAcentral